RNAcentral lists this long non-coding RNA (354 nucleotides) under Nicotiana benthamiana. RNAcentral describes it as "long non-coding RNA (NBEN_LNC001994)". Lineage: Eukaryota; Viridiplantae; Streptophyta; Magnoliopsida; Solanales; Solanaceae. The record is from RNAcentral.
GAUGACGUUGAGGACGCAACCCCCAAUAACCAACUUAAUAAACAUUAACCUAUCAUUCACUCACCUAACCUCGACCACGGACUCCCUUCGAUCCUUAUCCACCAAGAUGCCACUCCAUUCUUACCUCUCACGACCCCAGAAUCCACAGUUUAAACCCGUCUACAUUCCUCGCCUUCGACCCUUGCCACCUAGUCUCCUGGACACAUGCUAUGUUAACCCUACUCUUCUGAAGAACCUUCGCCAACUCAAUCGACUUACCCGUCAGAGUGCCUAUGUUCCACGACUCAAUCCUUAAUCUAUGAGCCUCUGCUACCCUCUUCCCACCCUUACCUCCCGCCCUACCCACAGGACCAC